GGGGGCGCCUCACCCUGCCUUCCCCAUGGACAGUCCAGCAAUGUCUGCUUCCACUCCCCCUGUGUUUCCAGACCCAGAGAGUGAAGCAAAGCCAGAAUCAACCACCACACUAGAUAAAUAGCCAUUACUGUGACGAUGGAAUGCUGUCAGCGAGCAGCAUGGAAGACACAGAGAGAGUGGUGGUCAGGUGGUGGUGGAGACAGGGAGAGUAUGUGGCCUGGAGAUUAACAAACAGAACACCAAUAAUCUUGUGACCUCCAUGCACCCUUCCUAAUGUCAAUAAAGUUGUCUUAUCAUGCCCAAAA
This is a long non-coding RNA of Portunus trituberculatus (swimming crab), 305 nucleotides long. RefSeq lists it as uncharacterized. Lineage: Eukaryota; Metazoa; Arthropoda; Malacostraca; Decapoda; Portunidae. The transcript is spliced from 2 exons. The record is from RefSeq and is a predicted model, not a curated record.